Pogonomyrmex barbatus (red harvester ant) is the source of this 275-nucleotide long non-coding RNA. RefSeq lists it as uncharacterized. NCBI's taxonomy places the organism in Eukaryota, Metazoa, Arthropoda, Insecta, Hymenoptera, Formicidae. The record is from RefSeq and is a predicted model, not a curated record.
CUUCCGGAUUAUCCCAGGUUUCAUCCAUGAGUAUUGUAUUGUAAUUCACAAUGAGCAUUGUGUCCUAAAAAAGACAAGCCCGCGAUAGAAGUAUCUCUCAAAGCUCUAUGUGGAACAUUUAAAGUGCGGCCAACAAACAUUCGUAUGGAUUCCAGAACGAUAGCGUGAAGAUAUGGCAUACUAAGAAAUAAAGACAUAGAAAACUUGGAAUAAUUCGCAUAAUCGAUGCGGACCUUUUACCAGCCAUCAUCCUCCAAAGAGUGUUUAGUACGGUC